Molecule: transfer RNA, 77 nt
Filed under: candidate division BRC1 bacterium HGW-BRC1-1
Lineage: Bacteria; Candidatus Sumerlaeota
Description: tRNA-Val
Rfam family: tRNA
About the family: Transfer RNA (tRNA) molecules are approximately 80 nucleotides in length.
Source: RNAcentral
GGGCGGAUAGCUCAGCUGGUUAGAGCACCAGCCUUACAAGCUGGGGGUCCACGGUUCGAACCCGUGUCCGCCCACCA